Molecule: microRNA, 23 nt
Filed under: Scyliorhinus torazame (cloudy catshark)
Lineage: Eukaryota; Metazoa; Chordata; Chondrichthyes; Carcharhiniformes; Scyliorhinidae
Description: Sto-Mir-27-P4_5p (mature (co-guide))
Source: RNAcentral
UAGAACUUAGCUAUUUGGAGAGC